This 500-nucleotide ribosomal RNA is filed under the name uncultured bacterium. RNAcentral's name for it is "partial 16S ribosomal RNA". It matches the Rfam family "Bacterial small subunit ribosomal RNA", at positions 30 to 523 of the family's 1533-position model. The record is from RNAcentral.
AUUGAACGCUGGCGGAGUGCUUUACACAUGCAAGUCGAACGGCAGCACGGACUUCGGUCUGGUGGCGAGUGGCGAACGGGUGGGUAAUGUAUCGGAACGUGCCCAGUCGUGGGGGAUAACGUAGUGAAAAUUACGCUAAUACCGCAUACGAUCUCUGGAUGAAAGCGGGGGAUCGCAAGACCUCGCGCGAUUGGAGCGGCCGAUAUCAGAUUAGGUAGUUGGUGGGGUAAAGGCCCACCAAGCCAACGAUCUGUAGCUGGUCUGAGAGGACGACCAGCCACGCUGGAGCUGAGACACGGUCCAGACUCCUACGGGAGGCAGCAGUGGGGAAUAUUGGACAAUGGGCGAGAGCCUGAUCCAGCCAUUCCGCGUGCAGGAUGAAGGCCCUCGGGUUGUAAACUGCUUUUGUACAGAACGAAAAGGUUUCUACUAAUACUAGGAGCUCAUGACGGUACUGGAAGAAUAAGCACCGGCUAACUACGUGCCAGCCGCCGCAGGAA